CCCCUGGAAUAUGGAGGGCCAUAUAUCAUACAUACUUGCACGUAGACAUAUGAAACUCGGUACACAUAUAGAUCUCAUCUAUCCAAACAACUUUCGUAUUGCAUGUCAUAGGCUCCGCCCAACAGGAAGUUCGCUAUUUAGGGUUAAGUAUUCGUAUUUUCCGUCAAAGUUUUGGGGGCUUUUGGGGCCCUUAACAUGCUCAAAAACUCUUGAAAAUUUGCACACACCUUAGAAUCUGUGACCAUUAGGAGGCUGCAGAGGCUGAGACCCGGGCGUGGCACAGGGGCUCUACGGCGCCCCCUGGAACACAGUCAGAAAUGUUGAUGUAUAGUUCAAACAUACUUGCACGUAUUCAUAUGAAUCUCAGUACACAUAUAGAUCUCAUUGUGCCGAACAACUUUCGUAUUGCAUGUCAUAGGCUCCGCCCAACAGGAAGUCAGCUAUUUAGAGCUAUGUAAAAAGCGCAUGCUCUGGAAUUUGAUAUACUUGUCAUAGGUUUUUUACCCGAUUGCCACCAAACUCAGUCAACAUGAUCUCAAGACAUUGGGGAUGAAAAAUUGCCAGGGGAUUUUUGAUAUCUCGAACGGUUUGCUCGUGGCGAGGCGUUGAAAUUAUGGCGAGAAAUGAGAAACAGGAAGUGUCUAAUAACAUCCACAUACAGUUCCUGAUUUUAAUUAAACUUGAUCAGUUUAUUCGUUGUAUGAUGUCAGUCACAUAGACGUCACUAUUAGGAGUCAAAGUUAUAGCGCCACCAACUGGCAGCAGGAUGUGUGUCAUUUUCAAAAUGCUUCAAAUUCAGCAUCUUAUUUUUACUCAAUUUGCUUCAAACUUCAUAAGAAUAAUGUCAAAACAUGGCCCAUGUAAAACUGUUGAGGGGAUAUUGAUAUCUAAUAUAGUGUUGCCAUGGCAACAUGUCAAACUUGAAUAUUUUUCCGGUGAUUUUGAGGCAGAUAACAUGCUCAGAAUAUCAUGAAAAUCAAAACACAUAUCAGUAUUAAUGAUAGCUAGAACAUGGCAAUAUCUCAUAAAAGGGCGUGGAGGAGGCACUCUAUAGCGCCACCUUUUGUCAAAAGUGGGGGGCUUAGAUUUAGCUACAGACCCCAAACUCUGUACAUAUGUUGUUCUUAUUAAGAUGGACAACUUUCUAAUUUACAGUCAUUAGCUACGACCAACAGGAAGUCGGCUAUUUUGAUUUGAAUAUGGAUUUUUGGAAAAAUAUAGCUGUGAAUUAAUGCAUACUGCUCAGAGGAGAAGUACACUAUACACACCAAACUUUGUCUACAUGAUGCCAAAACAUUGAGGAACUUAAAUUGCUAAUGGAUUUUGGAUAGCUUGAACGGUUUUGUCAUGGUGAUCUUUUGAAAUGACAGUAA
Long non-coding RNA from Cyprinus carpio carpio, 1373 nucleotides. Lineage: Eukaryota; Metazoa; Chordata; Actinopteri; Cypriniformes; Cyprinidae. The record is from Ensembl.